CCUACGGGAGGCAGCAGUGAGGAAUAUUGGUCAAUGGCCGGAAGGCUGAACCAGCCAAGCCGCGUGAAGGACGAAGGUGCCAAGCAUUGUAAACUUCUUUUGUCAAGGGACAAAAUCAGGCUCGAGAGCCUGACCGAGGGUACUUGAAGAAAAAGCAUCGGCUAACACCGUGCCAGCAGCCGCGGUAAUACGGAGGAUGUGAGCGUUAUCCGGAUUGAUUGGGGUAAAAGGGUGCGUAGGCGGGCUGUUAAUUGAGUGGUAAAAGCCCGGGGCUCAACCCCGGCGAGCCGUUGAAACUGGGUGUCUUGAGAUGUCGAGAGGUAUGCGGAAUGCGUAGUGUAGCGGUGAAAUGCUUAGAUAUUGCGCAGAACUCCGGUUGCGAAGGCAGCAUACCGGCGGCGAUCUGACGCUGAGGCACGAAAGCGUGGGUAUCGAACAGGAUUAGAUACCCCAGUAGUC
This 459-nucleotide ribosomal RNA is filed under the name uncultured bacterium. RNAcentral describes it as "partial 16S ribosomal RNA". It matches the Rfam family "Bacterial small subunit ribosomal RNA", at positions 338 to 795 of the family's 1533-position model. The record is from RNAcentral.